Molecule: small RNA, 29 nt
Filed under: Bombyx mori (domestic silkworm)
Lineage: Eukaryota; Metazoa; Arthropoda; Insecta; Lepidoptera; Bombycidae
Description: ovarian small RNA-18064
Source: RNAcentral
UAAAAUCAGCUCCGAUGAUUGGUCCGUUC